CUCGAACGUUCUCUGAAUUGGGAAAGGAUAGGAGUACGCUAUACGAUAUCUGUGAGCAGAAGCAGGGNCGCAGACUGCGCCCUGGGCGGCGANGUCGAUACUGUGUGGGUAAGCUACAAGAAACCGUAGGUCGAAAGAUAAUCGCCAUGGAUGAAACCGGCAAAUCUAGGAGGCAAUGGGAAUUGGACAUGGGCAACUGAUCAACAUGCCGGUGAUUGAAAAAGGCNUCGGUUGGAAGCNCUUCGGCCGGAGAAUCGNUGGGCGAUACCUGUNUGAUCACGGACCGGACAGAACGCACCGGUUAAUACUUGCAGAGCGCGGUAUACUUAGGGUGCGAGCGUAUCGAAUCACUGGGGCNUAAAGCGUGCGCAGGCGGUUGGUAAUCCAAAUUUGAAUCCCCGGUACACCUGGGAACUGCUUCGAAACUGCCAAUGAUUUUGGCAAGGGGUGGAANCACGUUCGUACGCCAGGUGNAAACUGCGUCACAAAAUCGCUGGAAGGAACCCCCGAUNGGAGAAAAGGCAGACCCCUGGGGCCAAUAAAUGGACGCUUACAUGGCAGCGAAAAGCGUAGGGAAGGCCAACAGGGAUAGCNCACCAC
RNAcentral lists this ribosomal RNA (600 nucleotides) under uncultured bacterium. Its description in RNAcentral is "partial 16S ribosomal RNA". The record is from RNAcentral.